RNAcentral lists this non-coding RNA (31 nucleotides) under Mus musculus (house mouse). Lineage: Eukaryota; Metazoa; Chordata; Mammalia; Rodentia; Muridae. The record is from RNAcentral.
UGUUUUUCUGGAAGCUGCCUAGAAAAAGGGU